UAAAAAGGACUCUCGGCAACGGAUAUCUCGGCUCUUGCAUCGAUGAAGAACGUAGCGAAAUGCGAUACUUGGUGUGAAUUGCAGAAUCCCGCGAACCAUCGAGUCUUUGAACGCAAGUUGCGCCUGAAGCCAUUAGGUCGAGGGCACAUCUGCCUGGGCGUCUCAC
RNAcentral lists this ribosomal RNA (166 nucleotides) under Camellia gauchowensis. Its description in RNAcentral is "5.8S ribosomal RNA". It matches the Rfam family "5.8S ribosomal RNA". From Rfam's summary of the family: 5.8S ribosomal RNA (5.8S rRNA) is a component of the large subunit of the eukaryotic ribosome. It is transcribed by RNA polymerase I as part of the 45S precursor that also contains 18S and 28S rRNA. The record is from RNAcentral. Lineage: Eukaryota; Viridiplantae; Streptophyta; Magnoliopsida; Ericales; Theaceae.